This 497-nucleotide ribosomal RNA is filed under the name uncultured bacterium. RNAcentral's name for it is "partial 16S ribosomal RNA". It matches the Rfam family "Bacterial small subunit ribosomal RNA", at positions 28 to 507 of the family's 1533-position model. The record is from RNAcentral.
GAUGAACGCUGGCGGCGUGCCUAACACAUGCAAGUCGAGCGAACAGACGAGGAGCUUGCUCCUCUGACGUUAGCGGCGGACGGGUGAGUAACACGUGGAUAACCUACCUAUAAGACUGGGAUAACUUCGGGAAACCGGAGCUAAUACCGGAUAAUAUAUUGAACCGCAUGGUUCAAUAGUGAAAGACGGUUUUGCUGUCACUUAUAGCUGGAUCCGCGCCGCAUUAGCUAGUUGGUAAGGUAACGGCUUACAAAGGCAACGAUGCGUAGCCGACCUGAGAGGGUGAUCGGCCACACUGGAACUGAGACACGGUCCAGACUCCUACGGGAGGCAGCAGUAGGGAAUCGUCCGCAAUGGGCGAAAGCCUGACGGAGCAACGCCGCGUGAGUGAUGAAGGUCUUCGGAUCGUAAAACUCUGUUAUUAGGGAAGAACAAAUGUGUAAGUAACUAUGCACGUCUUGACGGUACCUAAUCAGAAAGCCACGGCUAACUACGUG